GUCGAUUUGGCCGAGUGGUCUAAGGCGCCAGCUUAAGGCGCUGGUCCGAAAGGGCGUGGGUUCGAACCCCACAGUCGACA
This is a transfer RNA of Coccomyxa subellipsoidea C-169, 80 nucleotides long. It matches the Rfam family "tRNA". From Rfam's summary of the family: Transfer RNA (tRNA) molecules are approximately 80 nucleotides in length. Their secondary structure includes four short double-helical elements and three loops (D, anti-codon, and T loops). NCBI's taxonomy places the organism in Eukaryota, Viridiplantae, Chlorophyta, Trebouxiophyceae, Coccomyxaceae. The record is from Rfam.